AAACUUUCAACAACGGAUCUCUUGGUUCUGGCAUCGAUGAAGAACGCAGCGAAAUGCGAUAAGUAAUGUGAAUUGCAGAAUUCAGUGAAUCAUCGAAUCUUUGAACGCACAUUGCACCACCUGGUAUUCCGGGGGGUAUGCCUGUUCGAGCGUCAUU
This 157-nucleotide ribosomal RNA is filed under the name Chaenothecopsis pusilla. RNAcentral's name for it is "5.8S ribosomal RNA". It matches the Rfam family "5.8S ribosomal RNA". Rfam says of the family: 5.8S ribosomal RNA (5.8S rRNA) is a component of the large subunit of the eukaryotic ribosome. The record is from RNAcentral. Lineage: Eukaryota; Fungi; Ascomycota; Eurotiomycetes; Mycocaliciales; Mycocaliciaceae.